UACGUAGGGGGCGAGCGUUGUUCGGAAUCACUGGGCUUAAAGCGUGCGCAGGCGGACUAACAAGUCAGAAGUGAAAUCCCCGGGCUCAACCCGGGAACUGCUUUUGAAACUGUUAGUCUAGAAUCCGGGAGAGGUCAGUAGAAUUCCCAGUGUAGAGGUGAAAUUCGCAGAGAUUGGGAGGAAUACCAGUGGCGUAGGCGACUGACUGGACCGGUAUUGACGCUCAUGUACGAAAGCAUGGGGGGCAAACAGG
RNAcentral lists this unclassified non-coding RNA (253 nucleotides) under uncultured Alphaproteobacteria bacterium. RNAcentral's name for it is "contains 16S-23S intergenic spacer region". It matches the Rfam family "Bacterial small subunit ribosomal RNA", at positions 524 to 776 of the family's 1533-position model. The record is from RNAcentral. Lineage: Bacteria; Pseudomonadati; Pseudomonadota; Alphaproteobacteria.